UUAGUUUGCAAUUUGAAGACCGAAUUAGCCUUCGCUUAGUUGGGUGAUUCGUGUCGGAUUUGAAUUAGAGUAGUGUGUACUUGUCGUUAAUCUGUGAUUGGAAGCAUAGUAAUUGAGUUAAUGACCAACCGUUUUCACAUCCUGUUUUUACAUUUCUUUUACACUUUUGUUUGCAUUCGUGUUUUAAUUUCGUUUAUCCGCAUUCAUAAACCUUUCACAACCCCCCACUCCCCC
This 234-nucleotide long non-coding RNA is filed under the name Vigna radiata. Its description in RNAcentral is "long non-coding RNA (VRAD_LNC013314)". Lineage: Eukaryota; Viridiplantae; Streptophyta; Magnoliopsida; Fabales; Fabaceae. The record is from RNAcentral.